UACGGAGGAUGCGAGCGUUAUCCGGAUUUAUUGGGUUUAAAGGGUGCGUAGGCUGUGAGGUAAGUCAGCGGUGAAAUGCCCCCGCUCAACGGGGUGAAGUGCCAUUGAUACUGCCUUGCUGGAAUGCGGAUGCCGUGGGAGGAAUGUGUGGUGUAGCGGUGAAAUGCAUAGAUAUCACACAGAACACCGAUUGCGAAGGCAUCUCACGAAUCCGCGAUUGACGCUGAUGCACGAAAGCGUGGGUAUCAAACAGG
RNAcentral lists this ribosomal RNA (254 nucleotides) under uncultured bacterium. RNAcentral describes it as "partial 16S ribosomal RNA". It matches the Rfam family "Bacterial small subunit ribosomal RNA", at positions 524 to 776 of the family's 1533-position model. The record is from RNAcentral.